CCUACGGGAGGCAGCAGUGGGGAAUAUUGGAUAAUGGGGGCAACCCUGAUCCAGCCAUGCCGCGUGUGUGAAGAAGGCCCUCGGGUUGUAAAGCACUUUCAGUGAGGAAGAACGCCUGGUGGUUAAUACCCAUCAGGAAAGACAUCACUCACAGAAGAAGCACCGGCUAACUCCGUGCCAGCAGCCGCGGUAAUACGGAGGGUGCGAGCGUUAAUCGGAAUUACUGGGCGUAAAGCGCGCGUAGGUGGCUUGAUAAGCCGGUUGUGAAAGCCCCGGGCUCAACCUGGGAACGGCAUCCGGAACUGUCAAGCUAGAGUGCAGGAGAGGAAGGUAGAAUUCCCGGUGUAGCGGUGAAAUGCGUAGAGAUCGGGAGGAAUACCAGUGGCGAAGGCGGCCUUCUGGACUGACACUGACACUGAGGUGCGAAAGCGUGGGUAGCAAACAGGAUUAGAUACCCUGGUAGUC
Molecule: ribosomal RNA, 465 nt
Filed under: Vreelandella stevensii
Lineage: Bacteria; Pseudomonadati; Pseudomonadota; Gammaproteobacteria; Oceanospirillales; Halomonadaceae
Description: partial 16S ribosomal RNA
Rfam family: Bacterial small subunit ribosomal RNA
Source: RNAcentral